RNAcentral lists this ribosomal RNA (1321 nucleotides) under uncultured bacterium. Its description in RNAcentral is "bacterial SSU rRNA". It matches the Rfam family "Bacterial small subunit ribosomal RNA", at positions 28 to 1381 of the family's 1533-position model. The record is from RNAcentral.
AAUCAACGCUGGCGGCGUGCCUAACACAUGCAAGUCGCACGAGAAAGGGUCUUCGGAUCUGAGUAAAGUGGCGCACGGGUGAGUAACACGUGACUAAUCUACCCUCGAGUGGGGAAUAACCUAGGGAAACCUGGGCUAAUACCGCAUAACACUUACGAGCCAAAGCAGCAAUGCGCUUGGGGAGGAGGUCGCGGCAGAUUAGCUAGUUGGCGGGGUAAUGGCCCACCAAGGCGAUGAUCUGUAUCCGGCCUGAGAGGGCGCACGGACACACUGGAACUGAAACACGGUCCAGACUCCUACGGGAGGCAGCAGUGGGGAAUUUUGCGCAAUGGGGGAAACCCUGACGCAGCAACGCCGCGUGGAGGACGAAGUCUCUUGGGACGUAAACUCCUUUCGAUAGGGAAGAUAAUGACGGUACCUAUAGAAGAAGCCCCGGCUAACUUCGUGCCAGCAGCCGCGGUAAUACGAGGGGGGCAAGCGUUGUUCGGAAUUAUUGGGCGUAAAGGGCGCGUAGGCGGUUUGGCAAGUUUGAUGUGAAAUCUUCGGGCUCAACCCGAAGUCUGCAUCGAAAACUGCCGGGCUUGAGUAUGGGAGAGGUGAGUGGAAUUUCCGGUGUAGCGGUGAAAUGCGUAGAUAUCGGAAGGAACACCUGUGGCGAAAGCGGCUCACUGGACCAUGACUGACGCUGAGGCGCGAAAGCUAGAGGAGCAAACAGGAUUAGAUACCCUGGUAGUCCUAGCCCUAAACGAUGAUUGCUUGAUGUGGCAGGUACCCAAUCCUGCCGUGUCGAAGCUAACGCGAUAAGCAAUCCGCCUGGGGAGUACGGUCGCAAGGCUGAAACUCAAAGGAAUUGACGGGGGCCCGCACAAGCGGUGGAGCAUGUGGUUUAAUUCGACGCAACGCGAAGAACCUUACCUGGGCUCGAAGUGUACAGGAAUCACUUAGAAAUAGGUGCGCCCAGCAAUGGGUCUGUAUAUAGGUGCUGCAUGGCUGUCGUCAGCUCGUGUCGUGAGAUGUUGGGUUAAGUCCCGCAACGAGCGCAACCCUUAUCUCUAGUUGCUACCAUUUAGUUGAGCACUCUAGCGAAACCGCCUCGGAUAACGGGGAGGAAGGUGGGGAUGACGUCAAGUCCUCAUGGCCUUUAUGUCCAGGGCUACACACGUGCUACAAUGGCCGGUACAAACCGCUGCGAACCCGCGAGGGGGAGCCAAUCGGAAAAAGCCGGCCUCAGUUCGGAUUGGAGUCUGCAACUCGACUCCAUGAAGCUGGAAUCGCUAGUAAUCGCAGAUCAGAACGCUGCGGUGAAUACGUUCCCGGGCCU